RNAcentral lists this ribosomal RNA (440 nucleotides) under uncultured bacterium. Its description in RNAcentral is "partial 16S ribosomal RNA". It matches the Rfam family "Bacterial small subunit ribosomal RNA", at positions 338 to 795 of the family's 1533-position model. The record is from RNAcentral.
CCUACGGGAGGCAGCAGUGGGGGAUAUUGCACAAUGGGGGCAACCCUGAUGCAGCGACGCCGCGUGGGUGAAGAAGCGCCUCGGCGCGUAAAGCCCUGUCAGCAGGGAAGAAAAGGACGGUACCUGAAGAAGACGCCCCGGCUAACUCGGUGCCAGCCGCCGCGGUAAUACGUAGGGGGCAAGCGCUAUCCGGAUGUACUGGGUGGAAGGGGGGCGCAGACGGCGAUGCAAGCCAGGAGUGAAAGCCCGGGGCCCAACCCCGGGGCUGCUCUUGGAACGGCGUGGCUGGAGUGCAGGAGGGGCAGGCGGAAUUCCUGGUGUAGCGGUGGAAUGCGUAGAUAUCAGGAGGAACACCGGUGGCGAAGGCGGCCUGCUGGACUGCAACUGACGUUGAGGCCCGAAAGCGUGGGGAGCAAACAGGAUUAGAUACCCUUGUAGUC